Molecule: ribosomal RNA, 423 nt
Filed under: uncultured beta proteobacterium
Lineage: Bacteria; Pseudomonadati; Pseudomonadota; Betaproteobacteria
Description: bacterial SSU rRNA
Rfam family: Bacterial small subunit ribosomal RNA
Source: RNAcentral
GAGUUUGAUCAUGGCUCAGAUUGAACGCUGGCGGAAUGCUUUACACAUGCAAGUCGAGCGGCAGCGCGGGGCAACCUGGCGGCGAGCGGCGAACGGGUGAGUAAUGCAUCGGAACAUGUCCAUGUCGUGGGGGAUAGCCCGGCGAAAGCCGGAUUAAUACCGCAUACGCCCGAGAGGGGAAAGUGGGGGACCGCAAGGCCUCACGCGAUUGGGUUGGCCGAUGUCCGAUUAGCUAGUUGGCGGGGUAAAGGCCCACCAAGGCGAUGAUCGGUAGCUGGUCUGAGAGGAUGAUCAGCCACACUGGGACUGAGACACGGCCCAGACUCCUACGGGAGGCAGCAGUGGGGAAUUUUGGACAAUGGGGGCAACCCUGAUCCAGCCAUUCCGCGUGAGUGAAGAAGGCCUUCGGUUGUAAGCUCUUUG